RNAcentral lists this ribosomal RNA (465 nucleotides) under uncultured bacterium. RNAcentral describes it as "bacterial SSU rRNA". It matches the Rfam family "Bacterial small subunit ribosomal RNA", at positions 917 to 1382 of the family's 1533-position model. The record is from RNAcentral.
GACCCCGCACAAGUAGCGGAGCAUGUGGUUUAAUUCGAAGCAACGCGAAGAACCUUACCAGGUCUUGACAUCCUCUGACAGCGUUAGAGAUAGCGAAUUCCUUUCGGGGACAGAGAGACAGGUGGUGCAUGGUUGUCGUCAGCUCGUGUCGUGAGAUGUUGGGUUAAGUCCCGCAACGAGCGCAACCCUUGUGUUUAGUUGCCAGCAUGAAAGAUGGGCACUCUAGACAGACCGCCGUAGAUAAUACGGAGGAAGGUGGGGAUGACGUCAAAUCAUCAUGCCCCUUAUGACCUGGGCUACACACGUGCUACAAUGGGAUGAACAGAGGGUAGCGAAGUAGUGAUACGGAGCCAAUCUCAAAAAACAUCUCCCAGUUCGGAUUGCAGGCUGCAACUCGCCUGCAUGAAGUAGGAGUUACUAGUAAUCGCAAAUCAGAAUGUUGCGGUGAAUGCGUUCCCGGGGUUU